This 368-nucleotide ribosomal RNA is filed under the name uncultured organism. Its description in RNAcentral is "bacterial LSU rRNA". It matches the Rfam family "Bacterial large subunit ribosomal RNA", at positions 2099 to 2465 of the family's 2925-position model. The record is from RNAcentral.
CUUUACUGCAGCUUUGCAUUGGACUUUGAACCGGUUUGUGUAGGAUAGGUGGGAGACUGUGAAACCGGAACGCUAGUUUCGGUGGAGUCGUCCUUGAAAUACCACCCUGAUUUGUUUGAGGUUCUAACCUAGGCCAGUGAAUCCUGGCCGGGGACCGUGCAUGGUAGGCAGUUUGACUGGGGCGGUCUCCUCCCAAAAGGUAACGGAGGAGUACGAAGGUACGCUUAGGGCGGUCGGACAUCGCCCAUAAAGUGCAAUGGCAAAAGCGUGCUUGACUGCGAGACCCACAAGUCGAGCAGGUGCGAAAGCAGGUCAUAGUGAUCCGGUGGUUCUGUAUGGAAGGGCCAUCGCUCAACGGAUAAAAGGUA